UACAUGGGGUGCAACCGUUGCUCGGAAUUAUUGGGCGUAAAGCGCGCGUAGGCGGUUACUCAAGUCGGAUGUGAAAGCCCUCGGCUUAACUGAGGAAGUGCACCCGAAACUGAGUAGCUAGAGUACUAAAGAGGGUCGCGGAAUUCCCGGUGUAGAGGUGAAAUUCGUAGAUAUCGGGAGGAACACCAGUGGCGAAGGCGGCUCACUGGUCCGGUACUGACGCUGAGGUGCGAAAGCGUGGGGAGCAAACAGG
Molecule: ribosomal RNA, 253 nt
Filed under: uncultured bacterium
Lineage: Bacteria
Description: partial 16S ribosomal RNA
Rfam family: Bacterial small subunit ribosomal RNA
Source: RNAcentral